Molecule: transfer RNA, 83 nt
Filed under: Canis lupus familiaris (dog)
Lineage: Eukaryota; Metazoa; Chordata; Mammalia; Carnivora; Canidae
Rfam family: tRNA
About the family: Transfer RNA (tRNA) molecules are approximately 80 nucleotides in length. Their secondary structure includes four short double-helical elements and three loops (D, anti-codon, and T loops).
Source: Rfam by way of RNAcentral
ACCUGGAUGGCUCAGCGGUUGAGCAUCUGCCUUUGACUCAGGUCGUGAUCCUAGGGUCCUGGGAUCAAGUCCCACUUCGGGGU